GAUGAACGCUGGCGGCGUGCCUAAUACAUGCAAGUCGAGCGAACAGAUAAGGAGCUUGCACCUUUGACGUUAGCGGCGGACGGGUGAGUAACACGUGGGUAACCUACCUAUAAGACUGGGAUAACUUCGGGAAACCGGAGCUAAUGCCGGAUAACAUUUGGAACCGCAUGGUUCUAAAGUGAAAGAUGGUUUUGCUAUCACUUAUAGAUGGACCCGCGCCGUAUUAGCUAGUUGGUAAGGUAACGGCUUACCAAGGCGACGAUACGUAGCCGACCUGAGAGGGUGAUCGGCCACACUGGAACUGAGACACGGUCCAGACUCCUACGGGAGGCAGCAGUAGGGAAUCUUCCGCAAAAGGCGAAAGCCUGACGGAGCAACGCCGCGUGAGUGAUGAAGGGUUUCGGCUCGUAAAACUCUGUUAUUAGGGAAGAACAAAUGUGUAAGUAACUGUGCACGUCUUGACGGUACCUAAUCAGAAAGCCACGGCUAACUACGUG
RNAcentral lists this ribosomal RNA (497 nucleotides) under uncultured bacterium. RNAcentral's name for it is "partial 16S ribosomal RNA". It matches the Rfam family "Bacterial small subunit ribosomal RNA", at positions 28 to 507 of the family's 1533-position model. The record is from RNAcentral.